CCUCAAAGAGUGCUCUGGCUGUCAGCAUCACCCACCCGUAGCAGCUCCACUGUUUGCUUUGGGCUUUUGGUGAAUAAGCAGGUCUCCUGUUGUUCGAGCGUCUCCUCGCUGCCCUGUAUGUGAAGUGUCGCUGUCAGGAUUAAAGCCUCGUAAUGAAGAGCAGAGGGAGAGCCACGGACCCGAAGGAUCUGCUCUGUCCUACAACAAUGGUGUGCAGUUCAAGCUCCGCUGACGACAUUCGACCCUCCAGUGCGGGCUGCGUGUGAGCCAGGACGAGAG
Molecule: long non-coding RNA, 279 nt
Filed under: Oreochromis niloticus (Nile tilapia)
Lineage: Eukaryota; Metazoa; Chordata; Actinopteri; Cichliformes; Cichlidae
Description: lncRNA (ENSONIG00000035351.1)
Source: RNAcentral